UUGAGACAAAGUUCUGAGACACUCCGACUCUGAAUAUGAUAGAAGUCAGUGCACUACAGAACUUUGUCUCUGG
Molecule: microRNA precursor, 73 nt
Filed under: Erinaceus europaeus (western European hedgehog)
Lineage: Eukaryota; Metazoa; Chordata; Mammalia; Eulipotyphla; Erinaceidae
Description: mir-148/mir-152 microRNA precursor family
Rfam family: mir-148/mir-152 microRNA precursor family
About the family: The hairpin precursors (represented here) are predicted based on base pairing and cross-species conservation -- their extents are not known. In this case the mature sequence is excised from the 3' arm of the hairpin.
Source: Rfam by way of RNAcentral